Molecule: ribosomal RNA, 253 nt
Filed under: uncultured bacterium
Lineage: Bacteria
Description: partial 16S ribosomal RNA
Rfam family: Bacterial small subunit ribosomal RNA
Source: RNAcentral
GACAGAGGGUGCAAACGUUGUUCGGAAUUACUGGGCGUAAAGCGCGUGUAGGCGGCAGGGCAUGUCGGAUGUGAAAUCCCGUGGCUCAACCACGGAAGUGCACCCGAAACUGCCCAGCUUGAGUCUCGGAGAGGAAGGCGGAAUGCUUGGUGUAGAGGUGAAAUUCGUAGAUAUCAAGCGGAACACCAGUGGCGAAGGCGACUACCUGGCCUGUUCUUGACGCUGAGGCGCGAAAGCUAGGGGAGCAAACGGG